CCACUGUGAGUUCAGCAAAUGGAGGCGCAUGGAAAAGGCUGGGACGCAGGCAGAGGAACGGAUUUCCUGGCCUACAAACACCCUGGCUCUUGUUUCGGGGGUGGGGUGGGGGUGGGGUGCUUUUUUUUUCUUAAAUCAAAUACGUACAGGUUAUUUACUGGGUGUCAGGCCCUGCAGGAGUGAUUGAGUGGGUGAGCAGGAACUCCAGGUCCUGUCCGGGUCACCCUGACCUCAAUAGCAGUGAGGGAUUUUUUUAGGCAGCAACAGGAUUUCUGGUGUCCAGUGCUUGAAAACUCAAGGGAAGAAAACCCCCAGCUCUCAAGCCAAGCAAGGAUCUUUGUCUCUAGAUCAGCACUACCAGGAGUGAUGACCCUCAGUGGCUGGUGGAGCCACUAACUAUUAAGAGAACCAAUUUGAACAGCUGGAAACAAUAAGCAUAGGAGGAGAAGAAGACACGCGGAGGACUGAUAUUGCUCCACAGGGGCCGGUGGCAGCCUGUGCAUACAGAAGUAGUUCACGCUCCCCGAGAUGAUGGAAGAGGUGCUGAACACCUCAAGGAGCUCCCUGUGCGCUCUGCCACAGACAGCCUGUAGCUCCCCUGCCUCACACCCACAAGGCGCCAAAGGCAUUGUCUCUGCAAGGCCAGGGGGUUUUUGCAGAGCCUCUGGGCAUCCUGGGAAUGACACUGAGAACAGCAUCCAGAGAGACACCCACCUACCAGGCAAGGGGUGAGGCUCUACAGUGAAAGAUGGACCUAAGGAAUCAAUGGAGAUACACAGGCCAGCUACCAGCACAGAGAGCAGCAGGCGCUAGGUGGGAAUGUGGCUUUGUGCCUCAGCACUUGCAGAGGGAAGGACUUUAUCCCUGCCAUGGCACUGUUUCUCAAAGUCAGAUGUUAGAAGCUGACUGCCCACGUAGCAAUGCUGAGUCCGGGCCUAAUAAGAAGUGAUUGGGUCAUGAGGACCAGGUCUUCAUGAAUGGAGAAUGUGGUGGUUUGAAUAUGCUUGGCCCAUGGGAAGGGGAGCCAUUAAGAGGGGGUGGUCUUGUUGCAGGAAGUGUGUCGUUGUGUAGGCAGGCUUCGAGGGCCUAUGUUCAAGCUCUGCCUAGUGUGGAAAGGAGAGGCUCUUCCUGGCUGUCUGCCAAUCAAGAGGCUGUUCCUCCAGUACCAUGUCUGCCUGAACGAUGCCGUGUUCCCUGCCAUGAUGAUAAUAGACUGAACCUCUGAAACUGUAAGCCAGACUCAAUUAAAUGUUUG
This is a long non-coding RNA of Mus caroli (Ryukyu mouse), 1255 nucleotides long. RefSeq lists it as uncharacterized. NCBI's taxonomy places the organism in Eukaryota, Metazoa, Chordata, Mammalia, Rodentia, Muridae. The record is from RefSeq and is a predicted model, not a curated record.